GGGCCGUUAACUCAGUUGGUAGAGUAUAUCACUUUUAAUGAUAGAGUCGAAGGUUCGAGUCCUUCACGGCCCACCA
RNAcentral lists this transfer RNA (76 nucleotides) under Desulfovibrio sp. RNAcentral's name for it is "tRNA-Lys". It matches the Rfam family "tRNA". From Rfam's summary of the family: Transfer RNA (tRNA) molecules are approximately 80 nucleotides in length. Their secondary structure includes four short double-helical elements and three loops (D, anti-codon, and T loops). The record is from RNAcentral. RNAcentral also lists the same sequence under 4 other names. Lineage: Bacteria; Pseudomonadati; Thermodesulfobacteriota; Desulfovibrionia; Desulfovibrionales; Desulfovibrionaceae.